RNAcentral lists this ribosomal RNA (624 nucleotides) under uncultured bacterium. Its description in RNAcentral is "partial 16S ribosomal RNA". It matches the Rfam family "Bacterial small subunit ribosomal RNA", at positions 35 to 639 of the family's 1533-position model. The record is from RNAcentral.
GCCGGUGGGGGGGGGGCUACCAUGCGAGUCGACGGGCCUGUCUUCUUUUUUGGGGGUGGGUUGAGUGGCGAACGGGUGAGUAUCACGUGAGUAACCUGCCCUUCGGUCCUGGAUAACCGCUUGAAAGGGCGGCUAAUACGGGGUGGUCCGGUUGGUCCGCAUGGGCUGGUCGGGAUAGAUUCACUGUUUUUGGUGUUUCGGCGGGGGAUGGGCUCGCGGCCUAUCAGCUUGUUGGUGGGGUGAUGGCCUACCAAGGCGGUGACAGGUAGCCGUGCUGAGAGGGUGGGCGGCCACACUGGGACUGAGAUACGGCCCAGACUCCUGCGGGAGGCAGCAGUGGGGGGUAUUGCACAAUGGGCGAAAGCCUGAUGCAGCGACGUCGCGUGAGGGAUGGAGGCCUUCGGGUUGUGAACCUCUGUUUCCGGUGGUGAAGGCCCUGUCCGUGUGGUGGUUUUGACGUUAGCCGGGGAUGAAGCGCCGGCUAACUACGUGCCAGCAACCGCGGUGAUACGUAGGGCGCGAGCGAUGUCCGGAAUUAUUGGGCGUAAAGGGCUUGUAGGCGGCUGGUCACGUCUGCCGUGAAAUUCUCCGGCUCAACCGGGGGCUUGCGGAGGGUACGGGCCG